Molecule: long non-coding RNA, 905 nt
Organism: Scophthalmus maximus (turbot)
Lineage: Eukaryota; Metazoa; Chordata; Actinopteri; Pleuronectiformes; Scophthalmidae
Exons: 2
Source: RefSeq, a predicted model, not a curated record
UUCUGUUGUUGUGCUACUUCCUCCGACCGAAGAGGAGACGCGCGCCUUCUGAACCAGUGGUAUGAAGCCACAGCGCCACCCGCAGGACAGACCGACGCACUGCAGGCCUGUUUGGAAACCGGUUUCCUCAAAACGACUGUUGAGAGUUUUCCAUCAUGUGGACUUGACAGCGGAGAAUCGUCUGUUGCAACACGGAUUUCCGUAAAUCCACACGUAAUUGGGAAUGAUUAGAGAGGCAGCCCAAAAUGGGUCAGGUGACUUCAGCGGAGAUUAAGGUGACCUCUAAUUCUGAAUUUGAAAGCGCAUGAUUUGUGGGAUUGGCACCCAAAAAAGGAAUGAGCCCUCAUGAUCCAGAUAUGAUCCUGUUGUGUUGCAGGGAGCUUUAAACAGUCUGACAGCUCAUUAAGUUGCACCAAAUUUAGACCCUUUUAAUUGUUGUUUGUUCUACUGUGGCCAAAUUGCAAGAUGCAAAAGAAACUAAUCGUUUCAUGUAAUAAUGUGGUGCAAUCAUAAGUAUAAAGAUUCUUUAUUAAAAUAAAUGUAUUAACAGCGAAAUGCCAAAAAAAUAUAUGUGCAAGUGGAAGAACUGAAGUGUGAUCAGCAAAAUGUCCUUAAAAUAUUAAAAGUACCUGUUGUGGAGAAAGAUUGUUCAUAGGAAUGUUACAUUAUCAUGAAUUAGUGUGUAAGCAGCAUUUACAUAUUAAGGAGCUCUUAUGAACCACUUUUAUUCCUGUUGCAUAAUUGGAUCUAUAACAACCUCAAGAGUUUAUCAUACAUUUUGUCUUUGAUCUACAAAUCUGAUUUACCUGCAAAUGUAGCUGAAAAAUAAAUGUUGUGCUUUGCAAAAUCGUAUAAACCCUGGAUUAAAAGCAUAAAGUCGCAUUAAACAAAUAUAUUCAAGUGGA